RNAcentral lists this small RNA (28 nucleotides) under Bombyx mori (domestic silkworm). RNAcentral's name for it is "ovarian small RNA-21812". Lineage: Eukaryota; Metazoa; Arthropoda; Insecta; Lepidoptera; Bombycidae. The record is from RNAcentral.
UAGAAGCCGUCCCCCUAGCCCCGCAAAG